Molecule: long non-coding RNA, 161 nt
Organism: Etheostoma spectabile (orangethroat darter)
Lineage: Eukaryota; Metazoa; Chordata; Actinopteri; Perciformes; Percidae
Exons: 2
Source: RefSeq, a predicted model, not a curated record
CUCAGUUGGUAGAGCGGGCGCCCAUGUAUAUAGAGGUUUACUACUCAACGCAGCAGGCCCGGGGUUGACUCUGACCUCGGCCUUUUGCUGCAUGUCAUUCUCCCUCUCUCUCCCCUUUCAUGUAUUCAGCUGUCCUGUCAAAUAAUGGCCUAAAAUGUCCA